CACAUGUGUAACAUUUCAUGUGUCACAUACUGUAAAACGAUAUAAAAAUAAUGCGCCUGCAAGUAGACUGCAAACAACUGAACCCUUUUGAUUUGAUUGUGUGCACAUACACAUGUAGUAUACCACUGCUUUGAUCUACUUUUGAUAUCACGACGAGAUUGAAAUGAUAUCUGCAAUUGAAAUUAAAACCGUGUUCGUGUGUUUUAAUUUCCUGCGUCGCAAAAGGUUCUGAUUGGUUGAUUCAAGGUCAACUAGGUACAAUUAUCACGGCUCGAGGAACUCUAUAAAGCUGAGUCGAAAAACCGACGCUUCACUUUAGUUGGAGUGCUUUUACGAAACGGUUUUGCUUUUUUCGAACAGUUUAAUUUCGGUGAAAAGUUUAAAGUGGAAUUAGUUCUGGUGAUUGUGAUACUUUUUCUGGAAAAGCACAAUCAAAGCUUUGAAGAAUAGUUUCCCCCAGAACAAGCAAAGGUUAUGCGAACCCUUUGCACGUGUCAGGUUGCCCAAUAACGUGGGUGCAAGUCUCGGGGCAGAAAAGCCGUACAUUUCGUCGUUCGACGCUGGGAAAGCUUCGUUGGUCAGACUGGUGGAUGAAAACCACGACGGGGUCGUGACGAACCGUUUCAACCGCCUUAGUCAACUCCAACGACUCGGACACGCAUCUACUCCGCCCACCCAGUUGACCCCACACGUCCUUUUCGAAGCAAUCCCAGAGCUUGGAGGAAGUUCCGAGCUUUCGAGCACGCCAAAAGCUCGCCGGCUGCCCAGCCGAUUCUAACCUCGCUUGCCCGACCGAAGGAAGUGCGAGGAACGAGACAAAAGCCUGACAGCAGCAGUACCAUCCGUCUCCACGGAUUCGAAACAACGUUGGACCGAGCGUCCCCAUCAAGAACGUCGCCUUGCGACGGCCACGUGUAAACGUUGGUUCCGCUAGACGCCGCUUGGGGGCUGGAAGCCCAAAGCGCGGCGAAGAACGUGUCGACGCCGAUCGCUGUGCCACGUGUCCACGGUGGAGUACUGCUAGCCGCCGCUAGAGUGCGGUAGGGUUGCGCGAAUGCACCGGAGCUGUUUGAUCGCUGAUCGUCGCAGUAGGUCCGGACCUAGGAGAAUCUUCACGCCGUUCAAGAACACCUGCAAGCAGUUGCUGGUUCCAGAUUAGUAGGGUAAAGUACAGUGCACGACAAUAGGGAAUAGUUUUUGCUAGAUUUAAGAUCUAAACCCCCCCUUAGUAUUAGUUUGAACUCAUUUACAACCACAAAUAAAAACCCCGGGUCUUUUUCGGAUUUUGCGUUGCAAAAACGAGGAUUAAUUCUGCACGCGUUUAACUUAAAUAUACCUUCUUUCGUUUCGUAAUGAACUUUGUUUUUCUUAAUAAAUUUUGGAUUAGAAUGCACUCUAACUAAUGCGUUCGUUUGUUUUAAAGACUGAGAUGAAAGAGUUCGUAAAUGUUGUUGACCUUGAGUAAAUUUUUGGGAUCUUUUGGUUCGGUUUAGAUUACACUAAAACUCGCCUUGAGAUCAAGAGCUUCAGGUCGGGCUUCCCUGAUUAAAAUCCACAAACAACCUCCAACUUUUGGAGUGGCGCUAAAGUUGUUUGCAGGCUAAGCAUAAAAAGGUGUUUCAAAUCAAUUGGAUCGUCCAGGGAUUGCGCAAUGUAACGCUCCUGGUACGUUGUGAAAAGGUUAAGCGUUACACAUGGAUGCUUGACAUAAAAUUCCAGUCGAAAAGCGUUUUCAGAAUUGCACAUAAUGUUGUAAGCAACUUUAAGCAAAACUUGUAAAUCUCGUUGGAAAAAUGUACGACUCGUGCAUAAAAAAUCUUCUUUUUGCAACUUGUUGCAUAAUAUACUAUUAUUGGAGCAGAUAACAAAAGUUUCAUUUUGAAUCAUUGCAAAUUAAAUAAUUAUAUAAAAUAUAAUUAAAUAAAACAUUUUUGAAAAAGAAAUAGUUCUUAUUUACCCUGUGAUCAAUACGUCAAAUGCUGUAUCAAGUAGGCGAAAACCUGUUUUACCCCUAAUCCAACAAAUUGUUAAAAAAUAUUUUAAUUAAUUCUAAAUAACAAUUUUUCCAAUCAAAUUUACAACUCCAAUACUUCUAACUUACGUGAAAUUGUCCGAGGAUUCCGAAUAUGACAAAAUUGAGACCAAAAAGUGCCGCUAUGGCGGCCUAGAGGGCAAAAACUAACGUUGUAAAAUGUUUGUUCUAGAAAAAUCGAAAAACUAUGAGAAAAACUGCGAUUGGCCAAAAAGUUAUUUCGGUAGGCUUAUAGUCCAUAUAAUUACCUAUCUUUUGACCUAUGGGAGUAUGGGUGUUGGAGGCUGUUGCAAAAAGAUAUUAAGGGUUUAAAAAAAUCCAUUUUUGACAGUAAUUUGCAAAAGCUAAGAGAAAAAGUCGAACCAAUCCUGGAUGUCUAUGGCACAUUUUGAAGUGUUUCAAAAGACCUUUCGAAUGCAUCUAAGAGAGUUGGAAUUGAUGAAGUUUUACGGAAAUGCGAGCAAUUUUAAGAUUUUUUAGGUUUUUUGGACCUCAAACUUCAAAGCCCGUUUUACCCCACUUCCCUUUGUCGUAGAGGGCUCAUAUUUGGCAUGAGUUCAUCUCAUGUAUAGAAAAACAAACGCUGAAAGUUUCAUCCAAAUCGGAGCACCUCGAUACGACCUGUUACACAUUGGUGAAAAACUCGCUCUUAAAUGAAAAAUACAUAAUUUAAUUUCUGAACAUGAUUUCAUAGUUUUUUUUCUUCUUUUCAAAAUAUUUAAUGAUUUGAUAGCAUUUUUUUCCUCCUUCUUUUUUGCAAAUAUUUUUAAUACCUGUGGAUAAUGAAAAGUACUUUUCAGUACUGUUAUUUUUGGCGAUGAAAGGUAAGGCGAUUCGUCAUUCGAAAAUGACAAUAAAAGGUAAAGAAGAUCAUAAUGAAUUACAUAAAUUAAUUUUGCGUACGGUUAUUUGAAAAAUAUUAAGAAUAGAACCUUUAUUCAAAAAGUGUCCGUCCAUUGGAUUUUUAUUCGAAAUGAUUCUCAAAAAUUAACGCUAAAUUUUAACCCAGUUGAGUAAUAUUAGGAGCAGAAACUUAAGUAUAUAAAAAAGUUAUAUUCAUGCGUCUCAUGUUUAAUUGGUGAAGGUUUUCAUAUUUAUUUCUUUUCAUAAUGUUAUUAUUUUGAAAAAUUCAGCAUAAAAUUUUUAUGUUGUAUCAACAUGGAUAACCAAGGUUUCUUUUAAGAAGGGCUUUUUUCGUCCAAAACUUGCUCGCCCUCAAGCUGCUAAUCUCCACUCCAAGCUCAUCAGAUUUGUUAACGACUUGAGCGACAAGCGCCACGAAACCACCCCACUCUGUUGAUGAACCUAAUUUAAGCUUAUGGUUAGUCCACUUUACCUGUUUCACGAGCAACCCCAGGCAGCCCUUAACCUUAAGGCCUCAACCACUCGUUUGCGCGCAAGGUGACGACGAUACGGUGGACCUAUCCCACGCUCAUAAAAAAAAGUUUCCGUCACAAAGGAAAUUUUAUAAACCGAUUUAGUAAACAUCAUUUUGGGGGCUCGUUUUUGUCAUUCUCGUUGUCGUUUGGGCAAGGAAAGUCAGGUAAAUUUUCCCCUCCCGAAUGGUACAUCGUCGCCCUCUGGCUUGGACUAGAGUUUUUCUUCUUUCUGUUGCUUCUUUGCAACACAACGUCUUUUGGUCCUGAUCAAAUUGUGUAAAAGUUACCGUAAUCAACUUACCGGAGCAGAACCGGAGUGAGGGAGACACAUUGAGCUCGUGCAGGAAUAGUCGGAAGGAAUUUCACGAUCUUUUUUUCUGACUUUUUUUUUUCGAGGGGAAGGUGAAGAGAUAAGGCCUCGAAGCGAUAGACGAAAGGUUUUCUUUAAAAAUAUGUAAACAGGGAAAAUUGGAAACAUCAUUAUCGAGGAAUAGGGUGAGGGGAGAUGAACCUCAUCAGGAAAGUUUCUUAGAGGUUAUGUUGAAGGUCUUGCUUUUUUAUAGUUGGUCGAGUAGAUAAACUUCUACUUGAUCAAAUUUACAGGGACUGGAUGGCAGUGUAACAUUUUAACAUCGAAAAUGUUGGAGUUCUUGUGAAACGUGGUUGUUUGUUUUUAAAUAAAGUUGAAAAAGCUUUAAACAUAAUAUUAAAAGAAUUUCAUCAAAUUAAAAUAUCUUGAAAAUUUCAAGUUCUUUGUUUAAUUGUCCUACUUAGCUACAAUAAAAAAAAUAAAAAAAAUAAUGUGUCGUUUUUAAUCCUACACCAAUUUCUAACACAAAUUGCUGCACAUAGCAUACACAUCACGUGUUAACAAAACAAGCAAACAAUCUAGCCAGAGUCUCCCCUCGAUGCCAAAAGGUGAUAACUUACGAGAGGAAACCCUUUCACGAAUGUUCUAUUCAUAAAAACCCGAGCAAUGGAACCUUACACCAUUGACGUUGUCCUUUUCCACUUUGCAUGUUGUUUCAUUUGCAGAUCUUUCUUGUGAAAUUUAAAGGAAAAUAGUCAAGGCUAUUUCUUUAAAAUGAAAAAUUUCCUAAAAUUUUUAGUUUUAUUUACAUAAAGAAGAUGAAAA
Long non-coding RNA from Culex pipiens pallens (northern house mosquito), 4546 nucleotides. RefSeq lists it as uncharacterized. The record is from RefSeq and is a predicted model, not a curated record. NCBI's taxonomy places the organism in Eukaryota, Metazoa, Arthropoda, Insecta, Diptera, Culicidae. The transcript has 3 exons.